CCUACGGGGGGCAGCAGUGAGGAAUAUUGGUCAAUGGGCGCGAGCCUGAACCAGCCAAGUCGCGUGAGGGAUGAAGGUUCUAUGGAUCGUAAACCUCUUUUAUAAGGGAAUAAAGUGUGGGACGUGUCCUAUUUUGUAUGUACCUUAUGAAUAAGGAUCGGCUAACUCCGUGCCAGCAGCCGCGGUAAUACGGAGGAUCCGAGCGUUAUCCGGAUUUAUUGGGUUUAAAGGGUGCGUAGGCGGCAUUUUAAGUCAGCGGUGAAAUGUUGGGGCUCAACCAGAGAAUUGCCGUUGAAACUGGGGUGCGUGAGUAUGUGUGAGGCAGGCGGAAGGCGUGGUGUAGCGGUGAAAUGCUUAGAUAUGACGCAGAACCCCGAUUGCGAAGGCAGCCUGC
This 394-nucleotide ribosomal RNA is filed under the name uncultured bacterium. RNAcentral describes it as "partial 16S ribosomal RNA". It matches the Rfam family "Bacterial small subunit ribosomal RNA", at positions 338 to 729 of the family's 1533-position model. The record is from RNAcentral.